Molecule: microRNA, 22 nt
Filed under: Salicornia europaea (common glasswort)
Lineage: Eukaryota; Viridiplantae; Streptophyta; Magnoliopsida; Caryophyllales; Amaranthaceae
Description: seu-miR11034
Source: miRBase by way of RNAcentral
UUUUGGAUUUGUAUGAUGCAUC